UAGCUAGUUGGUGAGGUAACGGCUUACCAAGGCGACGAUCUGUAGCGGGUCUGAGAGGAUGAUCCGCCACACUGGAACUGAGACACGGUCCAGACUCCUACGGGAGGCAGCAGUGGGGAAUUUUGGACAAUGGGGGCAACCCUGAUCCAGCCAUGCCGCGUGAGUGAAGAAGGCCUUCGGGUUGUAAAGCUCUUUCGGCCGGGAAGAAAUCGCAUGGGCCAAUACCCUGUGUGGAUGACGGUACCGGAAUAAGAAGCACCGGCUAACUACGUGCCAGCAGCCGCGGUAAUACGUAGUGUGCGAGCGUUAAUCGGAAUUACUGGGCGUAAAGCGUGCGCAGGCGGUUUUGUAAGACAGGCGUGAAAUCCCCGGGCUCAACCUGGGAACUGCGUUUGUGACUGCAAGGCUAGAGUACGGCAGAGGGGGGUGGAAUUCCACGUGUAGCAGUGAAAUGCGUAGAGAUGUGGAGGAACACCAAUGGCGAAGGCAGCCCCCUGGGUCGAUACUGACGCUCAUGCACGAAAGCGUGGGUAGCAAACAGGGUUAGAUACCCUGGUAGUCCACGCCCUAAACUAUGUCAACUAGGUGUUGGGUGGGUAAAACCAUUUAGUACCGUAGCUAACGCGUGAAGUUGACCGCCUGGGGAGUACGGCCGCAAGGUUAAAACUCAAAGGAAUUGACGGGGACCCGCACAAGCGGUGGAUGAUGUGGAUAAAUUCGAUGCAACGCGAAAAACCUUACCUACCCUUGACAUGCCAGGAACUUGCCAGAGAUGGCUUGGUGCCCGAAAGGGAGCCUGGACACAGGUGCUGCAUGGCUGUCGUCAGCUCGUGUCGUGGGAUGUUGGGUUAAGUCCCGCAACGAGCGCAACCCUUGUCGUUAAUUGCCAUCAUUUAGUUGGGCACUUUAGCGAGACUGCCGGUGACAAACCGGAGGAAGGUGGGGAUGACGUCAAGUCCUCAUGGCCCUUAUGGGUAGGGCUUCACACGUCAUACAAUGGUCGGUACGAAGGGUCGCCAAGCCGCGAGGUGGAGCCAAUCCCAGAAAGCCGAUCGUAGUCCGGAUUGCAGGCUGCAACUCGCCUGCAUGAAGUCGGAAUCGCUAGUAAUCGUGGAUCAGCAUGUCACGGUGAAUACGUUCCCGGGUCUUGUACACACCGCCCGUCACACCAUGGGAGCGGGUUCCGCCAGAAGUAGGUAGCCUAACCGCAAGGAGGGCGCUUACCACGGCGGGGUUCGUGACUGGGGUGAAGUCGGAACAAGGUAGCCGUAGGGGAACCUGCGGCUG
RNAcentral lists this ribosomal RNA (1287 nucleotides) under metagenome. RNAcentral describes it as "bacterial SSU rRNA". It matches the Rfam family "Bacterial small subunit ribosomal RNA", at positions 242 to 1520 of the family's 1533-position model. The record is from RNAcentral.